GACGAACGCUGGCGGCGUGCUUAACACAUGCAAGUCGAACGCUGAAGCUCAGCUUUUGUUGGGUGGAUGAGUGGCGAACGGGUGAGUAACACGUGAGUAACCCGCCCUCUUCUUUGGGAUAACGCCCGGAAACGGGUGCCAAUACUGGAUAUUCACUGGUCUUCGCAUGGGGGUAGGUGGAAAGGGUGUUUCGGGUGGGGGAUGGGCUCGCGGCCUAUCGGCUUGUUGGUGGGGUGAUGGCCUACCAAGGCUUUGACGGGUAGCCGGCCUGAGCGGGUGACCGGUCACAUUGGGACUGAGGUACGGCCCAGGCUCCUACGGGAGGCAGCAGUGGGGAAUAUUGCACAAUGGGCGCAGGCCUGAUGCAGCGACGCCGCGUGAGGGAUGGAGACCUUCGGGUUGUGAACCUCUUUCGCUCAUGAUCAAGCCGCAACAAUGGUUGUGGUGAGGGUAGUGGGUAAAGAAGCGCCGGCUAACUACGUG
This 483-nucleotide ribosomal RNA is filed under the name uncultured bacterium. RNAcentral describes it as "partial 16S ribosomal RNA". It matches the Rfam family "Bacterial small subunit ribosomal RNA", at positions 28 to 507 of the family's 1533-position model. The record is from RNAcentral.